ACGGAGGGUGCAAGCGUUAUUCGGAAUUACUGGGCGUAAAGCGCGUGUAGGCGGCUUAGAUAGUCUGGUGUGAAAUCCCUCGACUUAAUCGGGGAAGUGCAUUGGAUACUACUAGGCUGGAGUACUGGAGGGGAGAACGGAAUUCCAGGUGUAGAGGUGAAAUUCGUAGAUAUCUGGAGGAACAACGGAGGCGAAGGCGGUUCUCUGGACAGUUACUGACGCUGAGACGCGAAAGUGUGGGGAGCAAACAG
This 251-nucleotide ribosomal RNA is filed under the name uncultured prokaryote. RNAcentral's name for it is "partial 16S rRNA". It matches the Rfam family "Bacterial small subunit ribosomal RNA", at positions 525 to 775 of the family's 1533-position model. The record is from RNAcentral.